Molecule: ribosomal RNA, 414 nt
Filed under: Theileria annulata
Lineage: Eukaryota; Apicomplexa; Aconoidasida; Piroplasmida; Theileriidae
Description: SSU rRNA
Rfam family: Eukaryotic small subunit ribosomal RNA
Source: RNAcentral
GACAAGAAAUAACAAUACGGGGCUUAACGUCUUGUAAUUGGAAUGAUGGGAAUUUAAACCUCUUCCAGAGUAUCAAUUGGAGGGCAAGUCUGGUGCCAGCAGCCGCGGUAAUUCCAGCUCCAAUAGCGUAUAUUAAAAUUGUUGCAGUUAAAAAGCUCGUAGUUGAAUUUCUGCUGCAUUGCUUGUGUCCCUCUGGGGUCUGUGCAUGUGGCUUUUUUCGGACGGAGUUUCUUUGUCUGAAUGUUUACUUUGAGAAAAUUAGAGUGCUCAAAGCAGGCUUUCGCCUUGAAUAGUUUAGCAUGGAAUAAUAAAGUAGGACUUUGGUUCUAUUUUGUUGGUUUUAGGUACCAAAGUAAUGGUUAAUAGGAACAGUUGGGGGCAUUCGUAUUUAACUGUCAGAGGUGAAAUUCUUAG